Molecule: long non-coding RNA, 2158 nt
Filed under: Chinchilla lanigera (long-tailed chinchilla)
Lineage: Eukaryota; Metazoa; Chordata; Mammalia; Rodentia; Chinchillidae
Description: lncRNA (ENSCLAG00000023640.1)
Source: RNAcentral
AUGGUUUUGAAAAUGGAUUAUACCCAACUUCUAAAUCUACUGACUCCCAUGCAGCUUUUAGCAAACUGUCAUUCCAGUAAACUAUGGUUCUCAUCACCUUGCAUUAGACAGACCAUGCUUGUUUCGGCAGCACACAUACCUUACAUUAGAUGGACAAAAGGAGAAUGUAAACUGAAGUUCUCUGAAGAAGUCAUAUCCAUACUAAACAUCCUGCAGACUGCUUAACUGUGGCCGAGAAAUUUUCUUGGGCUAUCUUAGUCCUUUUAAUAGCCAUUUAUUUGCAGCAUCUGUAUCUGGCAAAACUCUUGAAAUAUGUUGCUAAGCUCAGGACCUGUAGCUUCCAUCCACCCUAAAGUUAAGAAUGCAAAAGAUAGCAUCUGAAAUUUAUAGAAAAGACUUUCCUGCUUGCUGUGGCCUGCCGAACUAAUGUUCUGCCAAAAUACUUACUGAAUAUAUUGAUUUAUGACUUUCUUGGUUCUGCGGCUAUAAAAGUUCAAGCAAUCUCUUUCACAGUGGAAGGUGUCACUCGAGGUAAUUUGAAUCCAGGUACUGGGACCAUGGUCACCGCUAUUUGGUCCAGAAUAAACAAUUUUCUGAUUUCUCUUAAAGCAGAGUCAUUAUUUUAUGUUGAUUCUUCUUCUAGCCUAUUUGUGUAGCAUUCCUUCCAAACAGGUAUGGGACAGGACCUCUUCUGGAAUGAGGGUCAUAAGAGCUGUUAUCAAAAGGUAGGACAGAGAAUUUCUUCAGGACCCUCUCCUACACAGGAAGAAGGAAGGUUAGAUCAGUAUUUCUAGGCUUUAAAACUGCUUUAGGAAAGAGGAGUUCUAGUUUCUAUAACCUGACUUGGGGAAGGUGUAUUCUGAUUUCUAUGGCAUAUCUAGGGGAACAGGGGACAGGAUAGAGAAUGGUAGCAGAACAUGUCUGAAAGAGACCCUGCUUCAGAGGGUUGCUUUUGAAGCACUCAGUAUGUCAAAACAUCCGAUUCUGGAGUAUUUUUUCUGAGCUCCAACAAUACCCUAUGGUGAUUCUGUGGGAGCCUUGCAGGAAACAGAGUAAACAAAAUAGAUCCCAUGGAACACAAAGGAAAAAGUCAAAAUCCAAGUGGAUUUGUAAUUAAAAUGCUGAAAAUCACUGAACUGUAAGGCAUUAGGUUACUGUUACUUUGAGAAAAUACACACAGGGGCUGCAAGGAGGUACGUUUUUAUAAGACAAAGAUUGCUCAAAAAAAAUAUUUUUUGAAAUGUCAUUUAUAGAGAACUUUCCCAAAGGCACAUCUUCAAUGGGCAAAUGUAUAUACCUACAUAUUUACGGUGGAGUCUAUACCUCCCCUGAGACAGCUUAUCUCAUUUCCAGUUCUCCUUGCUGGGCCUACCUUGAAAUUAUGAAAUUACUCAUGCUUCCCUAUGCAGAAUGAGUGGAAGAAGGAAAGAAAGAAGAAAGAAAAAGAAAGAAGAAAAAAAGAAAGAAAAAGAAAGAAAGAAAGAGAGAGAGAGAAAGAAAGAAAGAAAGAAAGAAAGAAAGAAAGAAAGAAAGAAAGAAAGAAAGAAAGAAAGAAAGAAAAAGAAGACAGGAACAUAUUUUAAUGAGUGAGAAGAGCAAAUGUAAUCUUUAAAGGUGGCCAACUUCAGUCCUACAAUUAUUUAGAAAGGAAAGCUGGCUUUAAGCACUGCUGCUUGCAGGCAGGAUUUGCACCUGGCCAGGAACAAGGCUGCUGCUGGAAGAUGACUCAGUCGUACGGCUGGAGAAAUGAGACAGGCAGUGAGAGGAGAAAGACAGUGGUCCUGCUAACCCAAAGGGUCUUAAAUUUGUUUUUAUGACACGGAGGUUGUGCAGGCCCAGAGCUGGUGCAAACCGGGAGGGGGUGUCCAGUGUAACAAAAUCUGAGACCCCGAAAAAUGCACUACAUUUUGAACCGGAGGCUAAAACUCAACCUCCCUUACCUCCCACCUCCGCCUAGGCCAGAAUUCGAGCGCGCAAUCUCUCUCUUGUAAGGGUCCAACCGGGGACGGAGCCGGGUGACCUUCGCCAGGCCUCGGAGUCUCCUCUGGGAAGUCCCCGCCGCCCUCUCCGCGCUCUGCGGGCAGCUGCCAGCGCCCCCGCCCCGAGCGCUCGGAACGCCUUGGGGGCUCCCCCGCCGCCCACUGCGCCCCGCCAGCGG